GCUGGGCACAGUGGCGUGUGCCUGUAAUCCCAGCGGCUCAGGAGGCUGAGACAGGAAGAUCGCGAGUUCAAAACCAGCCUCAGCAAAAGUGAAAGUGAGGCACUAAACAACUCAGUGCGACCCUAUCUCUA
RNAcentral lists this small RNA (131 nucleotides) under Marmota monax (woodchuck). Lineage: Eukaryota; Metazoa; Chordata; Mammalia; Rodentia; Sciuridae. The record is from RNAcentral.